CUGCAAGUCGAGCGGACAGAAGGGAGCUUGCUCCCGGAUGUUAGCGGCGGACGGGUGAGUAACACGUGGGUAACCUGCCUGUAAGACUGGGAUAACUCCGGGAAACCGGAGCUAAUACCGGAUAGUUCCUUGAACCGCAUGGUUCAAGGAUGAAAGACGGUUUCGGCUGUCACUUACAGAUGGACCCGCGGCGCAUUAGCUAGUUGGUGGGGUAAUGGCUCACCAAGGCGACGAUGCGUAGCCGACCUGAGAGGGUGAUCGGCCACACUGGGACUGAGACACGGCCCAGACUCCUACGGGAGGCAGCAGUAGGGAAUCUUCCGCAAUGGACGAAAGUCUGACGGAGCAACGCCGCGUGAGUGAUGAAGGUUUUCGGAUCGUAAAGCUCUGUUGUUAGGGAAGAACAAGUGCGAGAGUAACUGCUCGCACCUUGACGGAACCUAACCAGAAAGCCACGGCUAACUACGUGUCAGCAGNCGCGGUAACACGUAGGUGGCAAGCUUUGUCCGGAAUUAUUGGGCUUUUAGGGCUCCUCCUCUGUU
Molecule: ribosomal RNA, 542 nt
Filed under: Bacillus zhangzhouensis
Lineage: Bacteria; Bacillati; Bacillota; Bacilli; Caryophanales; Bacillaceae
Description: bacterial SSU rRNA
Rfam family: Bacterial small subunit ribosomal RNA
Source: RNAcentral